Molecule: small nucleolar RNA, 205 nt
Filed under: Canis lupus familiaris (dog)
Lineage: Eukaryota; Metazoa; Chordata; Mammalia; Carnivora; Canidae
Also listed under: 1 other name
Description: Small nucleolar RNA ZL1 (multiple genes)
Rfam family: Small nucleolar RNA ZL1
About the family: Host gene TRRAP.
Source: Rfam by way of RNAcentral
GGAGAAGCAAAGUGAUGAGCAUUAUUGGCUAGAGCCCCAAAGAGGCACAUGUGUGUAUGUGUGUGUAUGUAUGUGUGUCUGUAUCCUUGUCUGUGCAUGCACAUGUAUGUCUGGGAGUACGAAUGUGUCUGACUGAUUAUAGGGAACUAGUCUAUGUGCCUUCUGUUGGACGAUGACAGUCAAACUGAUAAGAUCUGAUUGCUUC